GGCUUCAGAGCUCAGUUGGUCCAGCAUCGCACCGGUAUCGCGGAGAGAUCACAGGUUCGAAUCCCGUUGAAGCCC
Molecule: transfer RNA, 75 nt
Filed under: Acropora cervicornis
Lineage: Eukaryota; Metazoa; Cnidaria; Anthozoa; Scleractinia; Acroporidae
Description: tRNA-Thr
Rfam family: tRNA
About the family: Transfer RNA (tRNA) molecules are approximately 80 nucleotides in length. Their secondary structure includes four short double-helical elements and three loops (D, anti-codon, and T loops).
Source: RNAcentral